Non-coding RNA from Odocoileus virginianus texanus, 312 nucleotides. NCBI's taxonomy places the organism in Eukaryota, Metazoa, Chordata, Mammalia, Artiodactyla, Cervidae. The record is from RefSeq and is a predicted model, not a curated record.
GAGCUAUCCACAUAUACUGAGGCGCUCUCGCUUUAAUCUGUCUUUUACACACAGCUCCUACCACAGCUUCUAUGAAAUAUAUGGGUGUGGGCAGAUACCUUCUAAAACCUUCACCGUGUGGCUGAAAUCACAGAUAGCACCAAGCCAAUCUACUCAUUCUACUUAGAAUUCCCCUAUAAGAAAAAUGGGCUGCAAUCGAAACUGUGGGCUCAUCGCUGGUGCUGUCAUUGGUGCAGUUGUGGCUCUGUUCGGAGGGAUUCUAAUGCCAGUUGGAGACAUGCUUAUUGAGAAAACAGUUAAAAAGGUACAAGU